Molecule: ribosomal RNA, 468 nt
Filed under: uncultured bacterium
Lineage: Bacteria
Description: partial 16S ribosomal RNA
Rfam family: Bacterial small subunit ribosomal RNA
Source: RNAcentral
GAUGAACGCUGGCGGCGUGCUUAACACAUGCAAGUCGAACGGUGAAGGCGGAGCUUGCUCUGCUGGAUCAGUGGCGAACGGGUGAGUAACACGUGAGCAAUCUGCCCCUGACUCUGGGAUAAGCGCUGGAAACGGCGUCUAAUACUGGAUACGAGCUGCGAAGGCAUCUUCAGCAGCUGGAAAGUAUUUCGGUCAGGGAUGAGCUCGCGGCCUAUCAGCUUGUUGGUGAGGUAAUGGCUCACCAAGGCGUCGACGGGUAGCCGGCCUGAGAGGGUGACCGGCCACACUGGGACUGAGACACGGCCCAGACUCCUACGGGAGGCAGCAGUGGGGAAUAUUGCACAAUGGGCGAAAGCCUGAUGCAGCAACGCCGCGUGAGGGACGACGGCCUUCGGGUUGUAAACCUCUUUUAGCAGGGAAGAAGCGAAAGUGACGGUACCUGCAGAAAAAGCGCCGGCUAACUACGUG